RNAcentral lists this ribosomal RNA (381 nucleotides) under uncultured eukaryote. Its description in RNAcentral is "partial 18S ribosomal RNA". It matches the Rfam family "Eukaryotic small subunit ribosomal RNA", at positions 592 to 976 of the family's 1831-position model. The record is from RNAcentral.
CAAUAGCGUAUAUUAAAGUUGUUGCGGUAAAAAAGCUCGUAGUUGGAUUUCUACCGAAGAUAGCCGGUCGGGUCUUCGACCUUGUAUCUGGUUUUGUCUUUGGUAUACUCAUAGGGAACGUUUCUGCGCUUUAUUGCGUGGUGCGGUAUCUAUGACUUUUACUUUGAGGAAAUUAGAGUGUUCACGGCAGGCAAACGCCUUGAAUAUAUUAGCAUGGAAUAAUAACAUAGGAUCUUCGUCCUAUUUUGUUGGUUUCUAGGGCUAAGAUAAUGAUUAAUAGGGAUAAUUGGGGGCAUCUGUAUCAACGCGUCAGAGGUGGAAUUCUUGGAUUGCGUUGCGACAAACUACUGCGAAAGCAUUUGCCAAGGAUGUUUUCAUUGA